AAACUUGACAUUUUAGUCGUCACUAGCAGCUCAUAAUCAUAAAAGAGUUGACCCUCACGGGUGAGUGUGAUGUGCCGCUGGUGGCGGUGAAAAUGUCAAGU
Molecule: long non-coding RNA, 101 nt
Organism: Thalassophryne amazonica
Lineage: Eukaryota; Metazoa; Chordata; Actinopteri; Batrachoidiformes; Batrachoididae
Exons: 3
Source: RefSeq, a predicted model, not a curated record